AGUGAACGCUGGCGGUAGGCCUAACACAUGCAAGUCGAACGGCAGCACAGUAAGAGCUUGCUCUUACGGGUGGCGAGUGGCGGACGGGUGAGGAAUACAUCGGAAUCUACUUUUUCGUGGGGGAUAACGUAGGGAAACUUACGCUAAUACCGCAUACGACCUACGGGUGAAAGCAGGGGAUCUUCGGACCUUGCGCGAUUGAAUGAGCCGAUGUCGGAUUAGCUGGUUGGCGGGGUAAAGGCCCACCAAGGCGACGAUCCGUAGCUGGUCUGAGAGGAUGAUCAGCGACACGGGAACUGAGACACGGUCCAGACUCCUAAGGGAGGCAGCAGUGGGGAAUAUUAGACAAUGGGCGCAAGCCUGAUCCAGCCAUACCGCGUGGGUGAAGAAGGCCUUCGGGUUGUAAAGCCCUUUUGUUGGGAAAGAAAAGCAGCAGGUUAAUACCCCGCUGUUCUGACGGUACCCAAAGAAUAAGCACCGGCUAACUUCGUG
This 492-nucleotide ribosomal RNA is filed under the name uncultured bacterium. RNAcentral describes it as "partial 16S ribosomal RNA". It matches the Rfam family "Bacterial small subunit ribosomal RNA", at positions 29 to 507 of the family's 1533-position model. The record is from RNAcentral.